This 458-nucleotide ribosomal RNA is filed under the name uncultured bacterium. Its description in RNAcentral is "SSU rRNA". It matches the Rfam family "Bacterial small subunit ribosomal RNA", at positions 26 to 518 of the family's 1533-position model. The record is from RNAcentral.
AGAAUCAACGCUGGCGGCGUGCCUAACACAUGCAAGUCGAACGAGAAAGUGGAGCAAUCCAUGAGUAAAGUGGCGACCGGGUGAGUAACACGUGACUAACCUACCUUCGAGUGGGGGAUAACCUCGGGAAACCGAGGCUAAUACCGCAUAACAUCGCAAGAUCAAAGCAGCAAUGCGCUGGAAGAGGGGGUCGCGGCUGAUUAGCUAGUUGGCGGGUAACGCCCACAAGGCGAAGAUCGGUAGCCGGCCUGAGAGGGCGCACGGCCACACUGGAACUGAAACACGGUCCAGACUCCUACGGGAGGCAGCAGUGGGGAAUUUUGCGCAAUGGGGGGAAACCCUGACGCAGCAACGCCGCGUGGAGGAUGAAGCCCCUUGGGGCGUAAACUCCUUUCGACCAAGACGAUAAUGACGGUACUGGUGGAAGAAGCACCGGCUAACUCUGCGCCAGCAGCCGC